GAUGAGCUUAAAAGUUUUAUUAAUUUUUUUUGUUACACAUUUUCAGUUUAGAAACGAACAAACAAAUGAGAGACAAUAUAGAAAGCAAAGAUCAACAACCUGGCAACAGUCUCUAUCAACGUGUUGGUGA
RNAcentral lists this long non-coding RNA (130 nucleotides) under Papio anubis (olive baboon). RNAcentral describes it as "lncRNA (ENSPANG00000046270.1)". The record is from RNAcentral. Lineage: Eukaryota; Metazoa; Chordata; Mammalia; Primates; Cercopithecidae.